GUAGUCUACAUGUCUUUAUGCAUGCAUUGGAGUUCAUCAAUCAUGGACUCCAAUUUAUAGCACCUAACCUUAUUGUCAUUGUCCAACCAUUUGUCAAGUAUACCUUGUUGACUAUAGAUUGGACAGGCUGACGACAUAGGGAUAAUCUAGUCAAGAACAUGACUUAAUUUUUCUAAAACUAAGAAUAAUUCUUAGAUUUUUGAGCCA
Molecule: long non-coding RNA, 207 nt
Filed under: Elaeis guineensis (African oil palm)
Lineage: Eukaryota; Viridiplantae; Streptophyta; Magnoliopsida; Arecales; Arecaceae
Description: long non-coding RNA (EGUI_LNC029919)
Source: RNAcentral